RNAcentral lists this transfer RNA (66 nucleotides) under Potamopyrgus antipodarum. RNAcentral describes it as "tRNA-Asn". The record is from RNAcentral. Lineage: Eukaryota; Metazoa; Mollusca; Gastropoda; Littorinimorpha; Tateidae.
AUAGAGGUGCCUAGCUGUUAAUUAGGAGAUUGUAGUUAUUCUACCCGUUUAGCGGCGCUACGCCGG